CACAGCAAAGACUCCAGCAAGGGUCCGCCGGUGCCUCAAAACACGGAAACUUCCUGUCCCGCCCCUCCGCCCGUAACCUAGCAAUCCUCGUCCGCAACGCCAUCAAAAGCGACGGAACAACCCCUCGGCGGGCUGCUUUGAGUCAGAAGAGAAAUUCGGCUCAAAAAUAAUGUAGUAGCAUUCGCCUGAUGCAAGCCAGAUAGAGAAGAAGCACAAGACUAUUUUGUCUAGUUUAAAUUCCAGUUUCCAUUAAAAAAGAGAUUUGAUUAUUAA
Molecule: non-coding RNA, 273 nt
Organism: Peromyscus maniculatus bairdii (prairie deer mouse)
Lineage: Eukaryota; Metazoa; Chordata; Mammalia; Rodentia; Cricetidae
Source: RefSeq, a predicted model, not a curated record